Molecule: ribosomal RNA, 253 nt
Filed under: uncultured bacterium
Lineage: Bacteria
Description: partial 16S ribosomal RNA
Rfam family: Bacterial small subunit ribosomal RNA
Source: RNAcentral
UACGUAGGGGGCAAGCAUUGUCCGGAAUCAUUGGGCGUAAAGAGCGUGUAGGCGGCCCGAUAAGUCCGCCGUGAAAGUCCAGGGCUCAACCCUGGGAUGCCGGUGGAAACUGUCGGGCUAGAGUCCGGAAGAGGCGAGUGGAAUUCCUGGUGUAGCGGUGAAAUGCGCAGAUAUCAGGAGGAACACCGGUGGCGAAGGCGGAUCUCUGGGCCAUUACUGACGCUGAGGAGCGAAAGCGUGGGGAGCGAACAGG